This 1215-nucleotide long non-coding RNA is filed under the name Canis lupus familiaris (dog). RNAcentral describes it as "lncRNA (ENSCAFG00040016726.1)". The record is from RNAcentral. Lineage: Eukaryota; Metazoa; Chordata; Mammalia; Carnivora; Canidae.
GGGCAGGGAUGCGGCCUGGUUUUGCUCACAGGCGUGUUCUUACCGCCUGGCCCAACAAGGGCUCACAACAGCCUUCGUGACUCAGUGAGGCGCUUUGACCCCUCCCGUGAGAUCUGGCUUUGCUCGGCUUCGCUCGCCAUUCCCACUCCUGACCCUCACCUCCAGAAGGCUCCCGAGGGGGCAGGGUUCUUUCCAUUCCUUCCUUCCUUCCCUCACGGGCUAGUAGGUUCAUCCACUCAUUCAUUCAUUCGUUCGCUCGUUCGUGCGUUUGCUCAUUCAUUCACUCGUACAUUCAUUCCAGGCCUCCCCCCUCCACCCAGGCGUCUGGGCCGCACGCGCAGAUCCCCCGCGGGCGCGCCUGGCCCUCCCUCCGGGCCUCGGCCCCGCCCCCGCCCCGCCCCGCCCCCUCUCCAGGCCAAUUGGGACCGGCUGGCCGGGCGGGGCCGGGGCCGGGGCGGGGCCUUGCUCCCCCACUACCCGCGGCGGCGCCCGCGGCUCCGGAAACGCGCCGCGGGGCUGCUGGGCUCAGCCGGGCGCGGGCGGCUCCGUGGCGUUUCCUGCCACGCCGGGCCUGCCUGGGCCGCGCCAGCGCCGCUCCGCCGAGGGCCGCGCGUCUGCCGCCACGGGGCCCGGGAUUCAGUGACAUUUGAUGACGUGGCACAGUACCUCACAAAAGGAGUGGCUGAGACUGGACAGUGAGAGGAGGAUGUUGGCAUAUUGCAGGAGUGCAACCUCUGGGAGUUCCUGUUUUGAAUCCUCCCUGGUGUGAGGACACCUGCUGCCGGCAACCGCCCAUCCCUUAAUGCAGAUUGGGCGAAGCAUUCUGGUGAGUGAGGGAGAAAGAAACCGGAAAAGUGAACACAUCGUGGGGUAAAGCCCGCUGCGCCUUUGGGGAGGGCUGUGGCUCCUUCUCAGUGUAGAAGGCGGGGAGCUCCUCGGGGCUACUUUGGUGGCAGGGAGUGUGGGACCCUAGGGACGUCGAUGCCCCUUUCGUCUGUGGUCCUUGCUUCUGGGCGGAUGGGCACCAGCCAUGCUGUCCCCCGACCCCAACGUCCCCUGCACCCCGUCCUUACCCCCGCCGUGCUUGGGCCCCAGGGUCACCAGCCGUCUCCGGAGGAAUGCGAUUCUUGACAGAGGAUCGCCACCUCGGUCCCUCCUCCUCUGCAGGGCGCGGCGUCUUGCGGUGCUGGUGUCCGAGCGGAGCGCGCGGCUGAG